Molecule: ribosomal RNA, 270 nt
Filed under: uncultured archaeon
Lineage: Archaea
Description: partial 16S ribosomal RNA
Rfam family: Archaeal small subunit ribosomal RNA
Source: RNAcentral
CUGCAGCUCAAGUGGUGACCACUAUUAUUGGGCCUAAAACGUUCGUAGCCGGUUUGGUAAAUGCCUGGGUAAAUCGUGUAGCUUAACUAUACGAAUUCCGGGUAGACUGCCAAACUUGAGACCGGGAGAAGCUAGAGGUACUCCUAGGGUAGAGGUGAAAUUCUGUAAUCCUGGGGGGACCACCAGUGGCGAAGGCGUCUAGCUAGAACGGGUCUGACGGUGAGGAACGAAGCCCUGGGGCGCAAACCGGAUUAGAGACCCGCGUAGUCC